RNAcentral lists this ribosomal RNA (425 nucleotides) under uncultured bacterium. Its description in RNAcentral is "partial 16S ribosomal RNA". It matches the Rfam family "Bacterial small subunit ribosomal RNA", at positions 354 to 796 of the family's 1533-position model. The record is from RNAcentral.
GUGGGGAAUCUUGCGCAAUGGGCGAAAGCCUGACGCAGCCAUGCCGCGUGAAUGAUGAAGGUCUUAGGAUUGUAAAAUUCUUUCACCGGGGACGAUAAUGACGGUACCCGGAGAAGAAGCUCCGGCUAACUUCGUGCCAGCAGCCGCGGUAAUACGAAGGGGGCUAGCGUUGCUCGGAAUUACUGGGCGUAAAGGGCGCGUAGGCGGACAGCUUAGUCAGAGGUGAAAGCCCAGGGCUCAACAUUGGAAUUGCCUUUGAUACUGGCUGUCUUGAGUUUGGGAGAGGUGAGUGGAACUCCGAGUGUAGAGGUGAAAUUCGUAGAUAUUCGGAAGAACACCAGUGGCGAAGGCGACUCACUGGCCCAAUACUGACGCUGAGGCGCGAAAGCGUGGGGAGCAAACAGGAUUAGAUACCCGUGUAGUCC